Molecule: small RNA, 127 nt
Filed under: uncultured Eubacterium sp.
Lineage: Bacteria; Bacillati; Bacillota; Clostridia; Eubacteriales; Eubacteriaceae
Description: Ribosomal protein L10 leader
Rfam family: Ribosomal protein L10 leader
About the family: This family is a putative r-protein leader autoregulatory structure found in B. subtilis and other low-GC Gram-positive bacteria. It is located in the 5' untranslated regions of mRNAs encoding ribosomal proteins L10 and L12 (rplJ-rplL).
Source: RNAcentral
UGAACUGCCGUAGACAGUAGGUGCUUAAAAAGCGUAAAACAUUCUUUGUUGCCUACCGAGGAAAGUCUUUAUUAAAGAAUUUUUCGUCCUUGUGAAUACGGUGAGUAUUUACAAGGAUUUUUUUGUA